This 1182-nucleotide long non-coding RNA is filed under the name Homo sapiens (human). Its description in RNAcentral is "PREDICTED lncRNA (TCONS_00012728)". Lineage: Eukaryota; Metazoa; Chordata; Mammalia; Primates; Hominidae. The record is from RNAcentral.
CUGCCAAGCUGUCUCUUGUGGGGGACAUUUACAUUCUGUAGAGAAUCCCUUCCCUUUCCAGGUCUUUCUCUGAUCCUGAAGACAUUGGCUGAGAGUCUAGCACCUUCUAUGGGUCUGAACAGGAAACAUUUGCCAUCUAUUUUCUCUAAGGGUGGCCACCUAUGAAACUUCAUCUACAUAAUAAGAACCUUGGUCUCCACAGUCUCUUAUCUUAACUCAGACUCUCCUUUCUAUUGAUAGCAGACCAAACCAAUGCACAACUCCUACGUACUGAUGGUGGUCUUACGUUUCCCUAAGUUUCUGCCGACUAAACUGUGCACACGUUCUCAGGACCUCCUGAAGCUGCGUCACAGGCGCUGAUCAAAGAACACAACCAAGGUGAGUGUCAAUCAUUUCAAGAAAUCUAUUUGCAAGGUUAAGGACACACCUGAGAAAAGAACAGAGAACCACAGGAAAAACUGUGGUCCGUGCUUUUCCCAAAGAUUGUCUGGGGGCCUCAGUAAGUAAAGGGGAAAAGUGCGGGUAUUGGGGAAAGGGGAAGAAGUGGAAAAAAUGGGUGUGGGUAAAUCAGAGGCAAAUGGUUGCAUUCUUCUGUCUUUGGUCAGUGUUCACUGAAUACACAUUUUACAUGCGAGGGAGGUAGAGGCAGGGAUGUAGCUUUUUUAUCUUUGUGUAAUAGCUAUCUUAUUUAGGAACCAGAUGGGAAGCAGGUUUGCAUAAGCCAGUUCCCAGCUUGGCUUUUCCCUUUGGCUUAGUGAGUCUGGGGUCCCAGGAUUUAUUUUCCGUUCUCACAGGUUGUGGUCCUCACAUUUGGCUCAAAAUAUUCAAAAUUUUUUCCAGAGUUUGGCCUUUUCUUCAGCACUGGGAAUUGUGAUCCAAAGCUUUUCCUGAUGAGGCACAAAGUUGGAGAAACAAAACGCAAACUAAGCAACAAUGAAACAGAACAGAGUGAAUCUGCUGUAGCUCAAGAGAGGACGUAGCUGCCCCCACCCCGCAUCCCCGGGCUCGGGUUUGCCUUGCUGACCUCUGCUGCCACCUGGUGCCGCACAGAGAAACUGAGGAGAAACCACAUCAGUCUCCUUCAGCCUCAGCUUCACAUCUGUGGGUCAAGCAACCCUUUCAGAAGCUGAAUAAUGUGGGAAAGCUUUCCUCUCAGGAAAAUGCACACAUCCAACUUUGAGA